This 204-nucleotide ribosomal RNA is filed under the name Triticum aestivum (bread wheat). RNAcentral's name for it is "partial small subunit ribosomal RNA". Lineage: Eukaryota; Viridiplantae; Streptophyta; Magnoliopsida; Poales; Poaceae. The record is from RNAcentral.
AUCAGCUGAAACUGCCGGGGGCUUGGGAACCCCGAGGCAGUUCGCGAGCUUCGCAGUAUUGUGAAGCUGGAAGGACCCACUCUUCUCUUCGUCAUGGAAACAAAAAUUAAAGGGAAGAGAGUGCAAGACUUACAGAAUCACCUUGGCUUCGACGGGUGUUUUGCUGUAGAUAGUGUUGGUCUGAGUGGGGGCAUAGGCCUCUUU